GGGCUCACUUUGGCAGCACAUGUACUAAAACUGGAAUGAUACAGAAAAGAUUAGCAUGGCCCCUGCUCAAGCAUGACAUAAAUUCUUGAAAUGUUCCAUACUUUU
This 105-nucleotide small nuclear RNA is filed under the name Chinchilla lanigera (long-tailed chinchilla). The record is from RNAcentral. Lineage: Eukaryota; Metazoa; Chordata; Mammalia; Rodentia; Chinchillidae.